This is a non-coding RNA of Varroa destructor (honeybee mite), 5803 nucleotides long. Lineage: Eukaryota; Metazoa; Arthropoda; Arachnida; Mesostigmata; Varroidae. The record is from RefSeq and is a predicted model, not a curated record.
UCAGUGAACAUCUCCACGCUGACCCAGGUGCGCCUGCAAAGCCCUUGCCAGUUUAAGGCCCAAAUGCCCGACCAACAGCUCUUUCCCUUUGCUGUUAUUAAUCCGAUAGCCCGACGAGAAGCACUGGCAGUUCCGCGGCCAAGUCGCACCCCAACAGCCUCCACGGGUUCUCUCGGAAACCUUCAGGGAACGUCAGGGCCACAAGGUUUCUUUGAUCCUAUCAUCCCUCUUCGGCCCCAGAACACCCCCAGUCAGCUGCAACUUGCCGCUCAAACACGACAUGAGGCUGACGAAUGGGUGGCAGCCAUUCAGAGCAGAAUAUCGGCAUCGUCACUUGACAUCGAAGGUCUAAACCUUGAAGGUUGUUCAUCGUACGUGCCGAUUGAGAGUGCCAGUGAUCAUCACGGCGCAAUCUCACAAACCUUGCAACUUUUAGACGAGCUACUCAGAGAAACGCCUGUCGUUAUGGAGACGAAUGCCAAUACAGGCAAUGGCGGCAAUGCUAAGGAACCUGUCGCCAAUGCGACCAUGUGCGCUGGGGUGGUCGGCGGUCAGGGCGCCGCUGCUUCGGCGGUCGGAGCAGAUGUGGCGCCACAGUUGCAAGCUAAAGCACAGCUGCAGAGCACCGUUUCGACGCCGGCCGGUGACGACAUAGCUGCAGGUGCCAAACCAAAAUUGCACACAUCUUGGUCGGAGGAAGAACGGGAACAGCAUGCCAGCAUAAUGGCUCAUCAGCAGGCUCUUCGAAGGGCUACGCACUUGCGACAGAGGAAGAUAUCCACUGAACUCAAGCUUGAGACGAUCCAAAAGCAGCUGAGGCGGACAAAAAAAGCACAACCAAAAGCGAUCCCCGAGGAAGGAAAUGAUCGCUCAGCGUUCGAAGAACAGCUUCAGGAAUUGACAGAAACUCUCAAGACCCUCGAGGGCAAUCUUGGUCAAACAGAACUAGAGGCCCAGAAGACCAAACGCAAUUGGGACUCGAAAAUGGAAGAGGUCUACAAACACAUAUACGACCCGGCCACCAUUCUCAAUAUAGAUCAAUGGGCGGAGCGUAAGAAUACGAGCGGUCGAGCUUCGACCCGACGCAUCGGGGGUGGAUCGCUGCGCGUGCGCGCCGCCAAGUUCAUUCAGAGCCCCCGGCCAAGGAAGAAGCCCCACGACACCAACACCAACGGUGGCAGUAAGGAUGGCAGCGACAAGCACGGUGGCGGUGGAGGCUCAAACGUGGAAGAUUCAGACACGGAUGAGAAGAGCUCGGGAGCGCGCACGUUAGGCGCAAAACAAGGACGAAGGGGUACGUUUCGGGUGUUUGGCAGUCUUCUCGAUUCAAAAAGAGGCCGCUUCGGGGGCAGCGGGAAACAACAGCAACCAUACGGAAGUGGUCAAGGGCAACAGCAGCAGGGAAAAGAUGGACAUGUGACCAAUAACUUUAGGCGGGAAUAUCUGAUGCACGCAUCAUCACCGGUGUCGCGUCUGAGGGCACGCAGCAGAUGGCGGAAAUCACCGUAGCACAUUGUUGAGAUUCCGUCGAGUGCUUCGUUAGUGCUGCUUAUGUUACGAAGAGAUCGAUCGACGCCUUCGCGCGUCUCCGCCUUUAAUUAUGGAGCUAUUGUGCCUUGCAAUAGGUGGUCCUAAUGGACAAAGAAGAUGUUUUCGAGUUCUUAUCAAUACUGCGUAGCGUCUGUGUUAUCGGUACCCUGGAUCUUAGAGCAAAACUGUGCAGUGCGCCAGCCCAGAAUCGAGGUUGCAGUGAGGCCUCAAGGAGUUACCGGAAACGCUUUUUCCGUCAACGCGCACUUUUGCGGGAAAAUUACGAUUCUGCCACCAGCUCUAUCGACGGAGACCAUUUUUCCUGGAUUUGUUUCUAAGCAGGUGCAGACAUCUCUGUGGACUAUCCUCUAGGCGACAUUUAAAAGUUAUUCGUUUGCGCUGGUUAAAGUCGUGGUCUUUACAGUUGGAACACUCUUCCGAUCGUGUCUGACCGAUCCUCAAGCCGUUGACCCCCCCGGAAAGGUAGCGAACGGUAUGCGGCCAUUGCUUAUGUCACGUCAUAAAUAACUACAGUGAAGCACUGGCCAAAGUGCGACUGUGCGCCGUCGCGUCUUGUCCCUCAGAAUUCUGCAUUGUAUAGUGGGCCGGCUAUAAAUGUUGAGGAGAUGCUACACCGCCUUCCCCAUAAGAACUCGGUAAUCAUCAUUGGCUAUUACAUUAGAGAGGUUUUAUAUGUCUUUAAAGGACUGAUUGAAGCCGUUCACAUUAGUGGCAUAUGCUAGUUAUAGCUACCGCUCCUGCAAAGUCGAAGGCGAUGUACCUGUGGUAGACACCGGUGCGUACAGACGUACACACAUAGUAUGUUGCAGUUAAAAUGAGAGAGAUGAAAUAAUUUUUUUCUGAGAGGGAGAGUUUGGGAGGAAAUUUGAUAAACAGAAAAGGAUAACGGCAAAUCUGACGAAUGACGAACAAGGGCACUAGGAAAAGCGGCGCCUUAGCAUUGCUACGCAUGUAAUUAGGCUUUUUAAGCAUUGUGAUGCGCUCGAUGUGACACUAAUUUGUCGGAUAUAGUAUAAGCGAUGUGGGCAAACAGUUCACGAAGGUCAACACAGAACCAAACGUUGCCCUCUGCGAGUAUUUUACACAUUUUCCGCACUGCUCGUCCCAAGGCGGAACGAUACCGACCGUAGGAAAAUCAGUCUAACCCUUUCUUGCCAGAUGGAUUCCCCACUUUAUUAGCCCUCACUCAGUUCAAGAAUAUGGAUCAUACAUAUCGAAACGGUGCAUAUUUCUAACAACUAUUUCACAAACCAAGCAAAUCAGCCGCAUAUUUAUCUAUCGAAGAAAAAACCGACUUUUUGUAAAAAAAAGUAUUGCAAAAUAUAAGAAUAUGAACCGCGAAGAUCUAUUAUGACGCAUCUAGGUGAAAAUCAUAAUUCGUAAAUUCGGAAAGGGUGAGGCGUUAAAAAUGACUUGUCAUCGCCCAUUUUGUAGUGGGUAGAGAACCAACGCCUCUAGCAACAUAAAUUUUUCACUAAAUCCGGACCGUUAUCGAGAAAAUCGUCAAGAAACGUCAAGUUACUGAGAAAGUUACAAGAAACUGAAUUCUCUUUCAUCAUAACAGGAAGUUCCUCUCGAAAAAAAAGUAUUCACUAAGCAAACAGUAUGGACUAGAUAUGCCGAAAUGAUUCAUAUGGCAUCAAUCAUUUCGUUACUCCUCUUCCUUUGCGAAAGAAAGUACUCGCAUUCUAUAAAGAAGUUAACUGAGAUGAACAAUAUUUCAUGAACUAUAAACCACCUCGGUGACAAUCAUUACUUUAAUAUUAAAUAAUAAAAAUAUGGGAAACUGGAUACCAUCCUUUGAAUGUUAUAUUGCGCCCAUCUUGUAGAGUCUGGGCAAAAAACAACUUCCCGCAUCAAUAACACGUUCUUAACGGUUGUCAUUGUUGUUGUUAACUGCAAAAACGAUUAAUGGGUUCAGAUGAUCAUUAUACUUUACGGAAAGAAACCCAUUCCUCGUACGGAUUUUCUCAAGAAAGUUUCGCGAUCCACCAUAAAUCAGUCCAAUCCGAUCGGUCUUAAAUGGUCGAUUUGAGUCAAAUAGGCGCACAAACCAAUACGCGAACACAGAGUAUUAGUAGAAGACUGAAAGCGAUUUGUGGGCUUUAUCUCAAGACGGUUCUCCUAUAGAGCUAAUCCUGAGCAAACUUUUCGACGCGGCAAAAAUUACCGCCUGAGAAAAAGUUCAUUUGUACAUUUGAUGGUAUAUAUACCCGGACCAUGCUUAUGGCCGCUUCAUAAGCGUUAGUGUGGCGUUCUUUUCAAACGUGGAAAAUCAGAAUGAUGAACUUGCUGCUAUCGGCUUACGCUUACCCCGCCAACCAAAUUAAGACUGGUUACUAUAAGAUAAUGUAAACUGGGGGAAAGAAUUUGUCCAGUCGACCACGUCUUCCGUGCAGAUUUUUCUCUAUGUGAAACUCUAUCGAUUUGGAAAAAUACAGCCCAUACUAAAGGAUCGUUUUGGGUCCGAUACUCAAACAAAUGAGAUACUAGGUCAAUAUAUACGACUGAGCAAUCUCGAAAACAGCUUGAGGAAUGAUCACGUUUUUCCGAUCUACGCACUGAGACAACACAAUGACGGAAGGAUCACGCUGGAAGAAUGGAGUGUUUUAGAAGUUAUGACAGUGCAGCUUCUGACCGUUCUUGAACACAAACAACAACAGUAUGGCAAUUAGCACAGCGGCUGUUGUCGAACUUACUAAUUUUUCCCCUAUCAUACCUACGUUCAAAUCAGUUCUAGAGAGAAGCACCAAAAGAAAGGUUGUAUCUAGAAACGUAGGCAGCACCGUUGCACAUCACUGGAAUAAAAAUCAGUCGGAAAGGACAGCUAUCUCGCUGAUCCUUAAACGUUAGAAGUUUGCCCCACAACAAGCAAAAUACGUCUAAAAAGGUACUCACAAAAGCAAUGACCGAAACGCUACUUCUCUCAUUGGAAGGGGCUGUUUCAAGGACAAAUUAGGGAGAACUUGAAAAUAAGUCCGUGCAUUUCAAGUAGUGAGGAACCCAUGAUAGGCACUUUUUCCUGUAGUUAACAAGGAAUUUCUACUCCGAAUAAAAUUGGGCCCCUAGAACGUACACUGAGAGAAAGAACCCCAAAAACUUCUUGGUUCCAACAUACACAUCAAGAGUUCUAUUCCAGCUAAAUCUUAGGGCUCAAGCUUGCUAUCAAUGUUAGCCGCGCGUACGGGCCGGGUCUUUUUGUUUGGGUUUGAAAUGUAGUGACCUUCAGCUCUCUUUCAUCUCUUUAAUCGUAGACAUUCAAGGUACACUGUCAACCUAACUAUUAUACAAAGUUCGUUAAUAAUUAAACAAAACUCAUUGUAGGCCACUAUUGUGGCUAGUUAUCAACGACGCUCAAAAAGUAUUCAUUGUGCUUAAAGAUUAUAAUAUCGCAAAAUGAGGAUGAAAUCAGUGGGUCAGGACAUUAUAUGGUUCUUUUUGUUGCACCAUCAUAUACUAUAGCGAUUCAGUACCUUUAAUUACAUCUACAGAACAUUUACUUUUGCAUGUUAGUAGAUAACCAAAUAAUAAAAGUGUUUAGCACAUUUUACUGUUCUUAGCGUCAGCUAUAGAAACAGUAGAUAUCAUGCUACUGUUGUCGAGAUCAUUCGGAUCUACAUUAUUUUCACGCGAUUCUGAACCGGCUGCGCUUAUAUUAAACCUGAAUUACCGUCAUUUACAGAUAUAUGUGCAUACACACGUGGCUCGUAGAAUCCGCAAAGCUGUUUGACUUAUGCCCUUUUGGUUCCUCUGUUCAGGCACAACCCUGUAUCUACAUCAGGUUUUCCAAGAACGCACCUGGUACCAAAUCUCUAUUCCCUUCUGCAAAACCAUCGUAAAAUUAAAUUUUCUCGUACUCAUAUUUCUGCCCAUCAUGAUGAAUCUAAACCGAAGAAUCUGUCUAGUUAUUUCUAGAACUGUUUAUCCAUUGCCCAUAAAGCUGUCCGCGAGAUUUCUUUUCCCGGAACUUCUCUUCAUGAUUCCAAUCACGUGUAUUCAUAUACCUUUAACAAAUAUCCACUACAGACCUUCUGAAUGGAAUAACGUGGAUCCAUAUGUCAUAUAGGGAUCUGAUGUCAGAUUUGAGCUUUUCUUCCGUGUCUAUCUUUUUUAUUGACAACAUUUCUUUUAAUUAUCUUUCGCGCAUGUUUUCUGAUGUUACAGUGGCUUGAAGCAAAAAGCAGAAGCCACGUCUAGUUCGAUGGCUGAGCAAGACAAGGAAAGGGGUGAAAAACAGGACUCGAAUAGUGAC